UAACGAGCUGCUAAUACCGCAUAAGAUCCCUGGACCGCAUGAUCCGGGGAUGAAAGAUGGCCUCUACAUGUAAGCUGUCGUUGAAGGAUGAUCCCGCGUCCCAUUAGCUAGUUGGUGGGGUAAAAGCCUACCAAGGCGACGAUGGGUAGCCGGCCUGAGAGGGUGUCCGGCCACACUGGGACUGAGAUACGGCCCAGACUCCUACGGGAGGCAGCAGUCGAGAAGCUUCCGCAAUGGGGGAAACCCUGACGGAGCGACGCCGCGUGAGUGAAGAAGGCCCUAUGGGUUGUAAAGCUCUGUCAGGUUGGGAAGAAAACUCUACGGGUAAUAUCCGUAGAGCUUGACGGUACCAUCAGAGGAAGCACCGGCUAACUCCGUGCCAGCAGCCGCGGUAAUACGGAGGGUGCAAGCGUUGUUCGGAUUCACUGGGUAUAAAGGGUGCGCAGGCGGCCCAAUAAGCCAGAGGUGAAAUAUGACGGCUCAACCGUCAAACGGCCCCUGAAACUGUUGGGCUUGAGUUCGAGAGAGGUAGGUGGAAUUCCAGGUGUAGCGGUGAAAUGCGUAAAUAUCUGGAGGAACACCCGUGGCGAAGGCGGCUUUC
RNAcentral lists this ribosomal RNA (601 nucleotides) under uncultured Planctomycetota bacterium. RNAcentral's name for it is "bacterial SSU rRNA". It matches the Rfam family "Bacterial small subunit ribosomal RNA", at positions 153 to 729 of the family's 1533-position model. Lineage: Bacteria; Pseudomonadati; Planctomycetota. The record is from RNAcentral.